CGGGGUGCAGCAGGCGCGAAAACUUUACAAUGCUGGCAACAGCGAUAAGGGGACCUCGAGUGCCAGGAUACAAUCUUGGCUGUCGUGAUGCCUAAAAAGCAUUACAUAGCAAGGGCCGGGCAAGACCGGUGCCGGCCGCCGCGGUAACACCGGCGGCUCGAGUGGUAACCGCUAUUAUUGGGUCUAAAGGGUCUGUAGCCGGCCGGAUAAGUCUCUUGGGAAAUCCAGCAGCUCAACUGUUGGGCUUCCAGGGGAUACUGUUCGGCUCGAGGCCGGGAGAGGUGAGAGGUACUUCAGGGGUAGGGGUGAAAUCUUGUAAUCCUUGAAGGACCACCAGUGGCGAAGGCGUCUCACCAGAACGGUCCUGACGGCAAGGGACGAAAGCUAGGGGCACGAACCGGAUUAGAUACCCGGGUAGUCCUAGCCGUAAACGAUACUCGCUAGGUGUCAGCCACGGUGCGACCGUGGUUGGUGCCGUAGGGAAGCCGUGAAGCGAGCCACCUGGGAAGUACGGCCGCAAGGCUGAAACUUAAAGGAAUUGGCGGGGGAGCAC
RNAcentral lists this ribosomal RNA (553 nucleotides) under uncultured archaeon. Its description in RNAcentral is "bacterial SSU rRNA". It matches the Rfam family "Archaeal small subunit ribosomal RNA", at positions 326 to 879 of the family's 1478-position model. The record is from RNAcentral.